UCGACCAAAGAAGAAGAAAAGAAGGGGGAACUUUCUCAAACCCUAAAUCAACAAAUUGAAAGGCUAAUUGGGGCUAUAAUUCGUGCAUGAAUCAAGAUAAUCAAUCAUCCAUACUUGUCUAACAUAAGUAUAGGGAUCAUGUCAAGAUGGAUGGAAGUACGGAAGGCUAACGGGCCAGGAGGACACAAGGAAGUGAACGCAAAUACGGAUGCGUAAGGUAAGUUAAUUCUAGAUUUACCCUUUAGUUUUAUAAUGUAUUGUUGUAUGGUAAUUAUUGUGUGUUAUGUAAGAAUGUAUGAAUGUAUGAAUAAAUGGUAGUACUAAGGUAAGUUUUUGUGGAAAUGAGUCGAAAGUGGUUAAGAAAGGGUUUCCAUCAUGUAUGGGUAAGAAAGGAAAUUACUAGUUGAUAUCAUGCUUAAAGAUGAAAUAACUAGUUAUACAUGUGGGUAUGAGUUGAUUGAUGAAAGUAAUUGGAACUCGUAGGAGAGUAUGUCUAUGAACACGUAAGGGUGGAGAAUUAUAUGUAUGUGAUUUACAUGUAUUAGACGUGUGUGUUUAGGACUUGGAUGUUAUGUUGUGUAAGAUGUAAAUUGUAGGUAUGUGUACGAAUAAAAGGGUAUAUAUGCAUGAAUUGGGAUUUGAUUAUAUGCAUGAAUGAAUGAGACUUGUUUAUGCGUAUAUGUGGACUUACUCAUAUGAAUGAAAUCUAAUAAUGCUAACCGUUUUCCUAUAGAGAAUGAAAUGGAAGUGCAGGUAUACUAAAAAUGGAAAUUGAAGGUUUGACAAGGAAAUCCAACGAUGGUGUUCGAAUGGAUGGACGAAUGGAUUAACAUAAGCAAAAGCAUGAGAUGUUGUACAAAAUUAUAGGUUCUCAUCAUGGAGUGUAAGCGGUCGAAGAUCGAGUCAAGACAUGGAUUGUACGCGUGUGUGUGGUGACGUAAUUUAAUAUAAGUGUGUCCGGUUUUAUUCAACUUAUAGAAAGGUGGAAUGAUUUAAUGUAUUUCCAAGUAUGUUGGAAUGAAUAUAAUG
Molecule: long non-coding RNA, 1029 nt
Organism: Helianthus annuus (common sunflower)
Lineage: Eukaryota; Viridiplantae; Streptophyta; Magnoliopsida; Asterales; Asteraceae
Exons: 3
Source: RefSeq, a predicted model, not a curated record